GAGGGUAUAGCUCAGUGGUAGAGCUUGCACUUAGCAUGCACAAGGUCCUGGGUUCAAUCCCCAGCACCUCCA
RNAcentral lists this transfer RNA (72 nucleotides) under Camelus ferus (Wild Bactrian camel). It matches the Rfam family "tRNA". Rfam says of the family: Transfer RNA (tRNA) molecules are approximately 80 nucleotides in length. Their secondary structure includes four short double-helical elements and three loops (D, anti-codon, and T loops). Further hydrogen bonds mediate the characteristic L-shaped molecular structure. tRNAs have two regions of fundamental functional importance: the anti-codon, which is responsible for specific mRNA codon recognition, and the 3' end, to which the tRNAs corresponding amino acid is attached (by aminoacyl-tRNA synthetases). tRNAs cope with the degeneracy of the genetic code in two manners: having more than one tRNA (with a specific anti-codon) for a particular amino acid; and 'wobble' base-pairing, i.e. permitting non-standard base-pairing at the 3rd anti-codon position. The record is from Rfam by way of RNAcentral. Lineage: Eukaryota; Metazoa; Chordata; Mammalia; Artiodactyla; Camelidae.